AGUGUGUGGACUCUUUUGCCCUUCAAUUUUUUCCUUUAUUGUCUCUUCUGUUGCCUCUUUUGUACAAUGACUUGACUUAAUUGUCCUUCAUUGAAUCUCUGUUUUUCCCUUAUGUUUUGCUGUUUGUUGUUAGCAGUGAAAUGUCUAUCUUGCACUUGGGUUUCCUUUUGUUUUUCGUUGUUCUCUGUUUCUAGGCACAAUGGAAGGACGAGAUUAUCCCAUCCACGUGUUGAUCAUCGUCAAUUGGUUCUUUUGGUUUCUCUUGUUCAUCUUUUAUUUUCGUCUUUUAUUCUCUUUUGGUCUUCUCUAUCCCUCUCAAAUCUUUUAUUCUUUCACUCUUCGUUUUUUGCUUUCAUUGUUGAUGAAUUUGUGUUUUGUCGAUGUCCGUCGUCGUCUCAUGUUGUUUUGAAAAUUUAGCUUGCUCAGAAGAUAUCAAAGUUUGGCCAGUGUAUUCAAUAUGCUUUCAGUCAUGAGGGAAUCUAGUUGAUAAGGUAUUUUUAAAGUUUAUUUCGCUCAUGGAAAAAAAAAAACUAUGAAAUUAAGGCCCGUGCUGUGAAGUCAACCUUUCUGUUAAAAAAAAAGGUAUGAUUUUUUUCAUACCUGAGUUCAAAUAUGAUUUCAAACCUAAGUUCAAAUCCUAUUUUUGAGCUUCUGUUUUGUCGUUAAUCAACUAAAGCUCAAAUAUUUCCUACAUGUCUUAAAUUUGGAUUAGUCUCUAUAUCGAAAUACAUACAUUGAACAAAUAUUCACUAGUCCUUUACAAUGAUGAUCAAUUAGUUUAGUUCAUGGAUAUAAUGGGUAUAUUGACAAAGGCUCAAAUUGUAUUUAAAUGGUAACUCUUCUGUUAGAUGAGCGAAUUUAACUUUUUAUUCUUAUUUUUAAAUAAAUCCGUCUUUUCUUUUGCGGUUGUUUUCAAAUUUGUCUUAUGGUGAUUCUUAGGUUUGUAAAAUUUAUAUUCUCUUUCACCAGCUUAAAUGGAAACCGUGAAGCUUACUCCUAUUUGCUGAAUUACGUCUGUACACUAAAACAGAGAAAAUAAAGAUUUGUGUGUGUAGGACAUGGAAAUCAAACAUUUCUGCAAGUGAUAAAAAACAUGUGACAUUCCACUGUAUCUUAGUUGAUGAAACAGUACGUGAUCAUUGUCUUAUAAUUUUAAUUAAGAAUUUUAACAUCAAUAUUUAUGUCAUUGGUUUUCUUUUCGUUUAUUUAUUUGUUGAUUUAUAUUUAUGUUUUUAUGGUUUUCUUUUCUGUUUCAUUCUUAUGUGUUUAUAAAUUGUUUUAUAAAUGUUUUUUUUUUCUGAUGAUUUACAUAUUUUAAAUGAAUCUAUUUACUGAUUCUAUCAUUAUUAAUUUUGCUCUCUUUGUUUUCCUGGAUAUAACCAAUUGUGAAGAACAAUGCGGUUAAAGCUUAUGCGUCAGAUAUUGAUUAUGAAGUUGUUGCCUUAAAGAUUCAGCUUCUCGACGUGUAAAAGUCCUGUACAAUUGCUACCACCUUCUUCAAGACAAGUGAAUGAAGCUGAAGUUUUACGUACUGCACGAAGAGUGACAAUAGAUUAGCUAGCUUUUUUAGAUCCUGAUCUAUAUAAGCUAUUAAGCCAAUAACUCCGCAAGUGUUUGGAAGAGAAAGCACAUUAUCCUCCAAGACUGUAUCAUCUUCGACCUCACCACCUCAAACAAGUGAUCAAUCACAUAAACGAAAGAGAGAAUCCGUCAGAAGAGCCCUUUUUACUGGCACUGAACAAAGUUGUUAGAAGCUGCAAGCUUUAACUUGAUUCAUUGUACCUAUCAAGGUAAAGUACCCGACUCCAGUGGACAAUAUAUUAAAUCUUUGGUAUGUAACUAUUGUGUACAUGUACAUCAAGUAUUAUCCUUUAUAUGUAAAUACAAUUAUUUACUAAAUUUUUUGUAUGUAAAUAGUACUGCAUACAAAAUUUUCGUACAACUUUCAAUCCUGCAUCAACUAUAGAAAUUUCAGCAAUAAACUCCUACCCUCUUCUCUCAAUCAUCUCUCAACUAUGUCUCUCUCACCCCUCAGGUACGUGUUGUUGGAUUCCGUUUGUUGUCUAAAAUUUUUAAUUUUUUUAUUUGAGUUUGCUGGAUUUCUUAAUUUUUAAUUUGGUUGGUGAAUUUUCUUUGCCGUUUAUUCUGUUUUUGUUAUUAUUUUUAAUUAUGGAUCCAAACCAGUAGAGAUCAAGUGUUCCACAUAAUCGCCCUUAGCAAGCACCUCAAGAUAGUUGUGGCAACAAUUCCUCAACCAUUUUCUUUAUCCUCUUUGCUUUCCUCGCCAUUUUAGUUGUGGUAACCCAUCUCAUACUUUAAACUUUGCUCUCCAACUCGGAACUACUGCUAGAUUUUCUUUUUCACUGCUAAUUUGCUUUAUAUUUCUUCGACAUUCUUUAUUUCAUCACAUUUUAUCUUCUAGCUUAAUCCAUCACUUGUUAUGCAAUACUAACUCAAUUGUUCAUCAAUUUGUUUCACUUUUAGGUUUUAUUAUGGUUAAGUAAUUCCUCUAUUUUGAGUAUCAUGUAUCUGUUCUUAAUUUUCAAUGAAUCCAUAUAUUUGUGUUAAAAGUAUUAAUUUCGGUUUUUUACAGUAACUUUGAUUAGUAUGCUAAAUUCUUAAAACUAGGAUGUCUUAAUGUUUACAGACAGUUCUUCCAACAUCAUCAACUAUAUCAAUUAUGCACCAAGUCCCAUAACAUCAUGUUGGGGUAUAUUGAAAAGGAGGCGCUCUUCUGAAAACAAUUACAGAUCCAAGCGAUUUGCAUUGAGAAGUUGCUUGCAUAUGACCUUAACUUUGUGUGCUCCUCAUUAUUUCAAAUUUCAGGUUUUCAUCUCAACCUGCCUCUGGCCACGCAUUUUUAACCCAUGCAAGUGAUCCUACAGAUUAUUCAGAUAACUUUCGUAAUCCAUGUUCGGAAGAUUGAUGAUUCUUUUUCCAUUUGUUAUAGUUUUGAAAGCUUCUAUUAGCAACAUUAUAGGUAACAAAUAUUCCAAAAUAUUUAUUCAUUUAGCAGCCAUUUGAUAACCAUUUGCUUUUUAGUUUCAA
This is a long non-coding RNA of Pyrus x bretschneideri (Chinese white pear), 3048 nucleotides long. RefSeq lists it as uncharacterized. The transcript is spliced from 6 exons. NCBI's taxonomy places the organism in Eukaryota, Viridiplantae, Streptophyta, Magnoliopsida, Rosales, Rosaceae. The record is from RefSeq and is a predicted model, not a curated record.